This 2022-nucleotide unclassified non-coding RNA is filed under the name Rhipicephalus microplus (southern cattle tick). RNAcentral describes it as "facilitated trehalose transporter Tret1-like, transcript variant X1". The record is from RNAcentral. Lineage: Eukaryota; Metazoa; Arthropoda; Arachnida; Ixodida; Ixodidae.
GGCGAGCGCAUCUAGACGAUGCACGGCUUGCCCUUUCGAAAGGGCGAUACGAACGUGUCGUGCAAACGUGGCCGGCAGCCUCGGGGUGCGUGCGGUGAGUUCAGUCACCGCUGGAGGUCGGCUGGUAGAAGGGUCGGAGAUGGGAGCCGUGACCACGUCUCGGGACGCUGUUGCUCUUCAGGAGGAGCCACUCGUGUGUCCCACUGGCCAGUGCGCACCACCAUCGUCGAAGGUGCAGGGUCGUCAAGAGAUGGAGGAGGAUACGCGGGCGCUCACCGCCCCCGAUGGCCGGUCUCCGUGGCGCUCUCGUCUCGUGCUGUCCGUGUGCUCGGCCUGCAUGAGCGGGGCGUCGUUUGGCCUUUCGCUCAGCUACUCGUCGCCGGCACUGCCCGACAUCCGGCGCCGCAUGCCCUUCAGCGACAACCAGGGCGACUGGUUCGGCUCUCUGGUCACGCUGGGAGCGCUUUUCGGUGGACUCGUCGGAGGCCAGCUGCUCAGUAGACUUGGUCGAAAGGACACCAUCAUCUUCUCGUCACUUGGCUUCGCGAUCGGCUUCCUGUUGAUCGAGGCUACGUCGCUACCAAUCGUCAUGUUCCUUGGCCGCUUCUUGACGGGCGUUUCUACGGGCAUCACCGCAGUGGCGUUGCCCGUGUUCGUCUCCGAGGUGAGCCCGCCCCAGAUACGCGGCGUGCUCAACACCAUGUGCACCAUCGCCAUCACGUCGGGCGUGCUGCUCGCCUACGUGCUGGGCAAGUGGCUCAACUACCGGUGGCUCGCCACAGCCUGCAUUGUGCCCCCGCUGGUGGUGGUCAUCUCGAUGCCUUUCGUGGCGGACUCGCCGAGGUGGCUGAUCCACGCUGGUCGCUCCGAGGAGGCUCUAAAGGCGCUGAAAUUUUAUGAGGGCGAGGACAGGGCUCGCGAGGAAUUUGAGAGCCUGCAAGCGGCGAGCACGGCAGACGAGAAGUUUUCCCUGGCUGAAUUCAAGCUUCCGUACGUGUACAAGCCAUUCCUGUGCGUCUUGCUGGGCAUGUUCCUCCAGCAGUUCUCGGGCAUCAGCAUCAUGCUACUGUACACGCAAGACAUCUUCGAGUCUGCCGGCUCGACCAUAGAGUCCACCGACUGCACCAUCAUUGUCGGUGUUGUCCAAGUGGCCAGCGGCUUCAUGGCCACGCUGGCCAUUGACCGUUUGGGUCGCAAAAUACUGCUGCUCAUGUCUUGCUUCGUGUCCUCGAUCAGCCUCAUCCUUCUUGGGAUUUCAUAUCAUUUCAAGGACACUCAGGGUCAGGUGUUCCUGGCUUCAUACGGCUGGCUUCCACUGCUUGCUCUCUGCGGCUUCAUGGUCGGCUACUCAGUGGGCCUCGGACCGCUGCCGUGGAUGCUGAUGGGCGAGAUGCUGCCACUGCGCGUCAAGGGCUUCGCGACGGGCGUGUCGACUGCCUUCAACUUCGGCUGCGGUGCCCUGAUCGCUAGGGAAUAUCACAGCACGAUGCGGCUGCUCGGCAACGACGGCAUCUACUGGUUCUACGGCACUGUCAUGGCCCUGGGCUUUGUUCUGGUGCUAAUAUUUAUUCCUGAGACCCGCGGCAAGACUCUGGAGGAGAUUGAAGUGCAGUUCGGCAAAAACUCUGACAACUCCGCGGAUUCUAGAGAACAGCCAGGCCUCGUGAACGCAUAGCAUUUUGCAUCGUGCUUGGGGAACUGGGAAUACCUUUUCUGGACAGUGUCUAAGAAGUGCUGCGCCAAUCUGACCUGCUUCGCCAAGCUGUUCCUGCCCGGCAAUUUGUGUGUGGAAUGCCAAAUUUAGCCGAGUUUUAUCAUCAUCUGAGCAACACGGGUGAGCUACACAAAAGGCGCAACCGCGUCCAUAUCAAGUUAGUUCAGUGACAUCGUAUUUCGGUUCAUGCAUGGAUCCUGUUAAGGUGGUGUUUGUGUGUAUACCUCAUUAUGCGACUCUAUAUAUCUUUUAACAGCAACAAACCAUGUAAACUGAAAAAAUAAAAUAAAGUUAGUUUCACCGGUGAA